GAUGAACGCUAGCGGGAGGCCUAACACAUGCAAGCCGAGCGGUAUUGUUUCUUCGGAAAUGAGAGAGCGGCGUACGGGUGCGGAACACGUGUGCAACCUGCCUUUAUCUGGGGGAUAGCCUUUCGAAAGGAAGAUUAAUACUCCAUAAUAUAUUGAACGGCAUCGUUUAAUAUUGAAAGCUCCGGCGGAUAGAGAUGGGCACGCGCAAGAUUAGCUAGUUGGUGAGGUAACGGCUCACCAAGGCGAUGAUCUUUAGGGGGCCUGAGAGGGUGAUCCCCCACACUGGUACUGAGACACGGACCAGACUCCUACGGGAGGCAGCAGUGAGGAAUAUUGGUCAAUGGGUGCAAGCCUGAACCAGCCAUCCCGCGUGAAGGACGACUGCCCUAUGGGUUGUAAACUUCUUUUGUAUAGGGAUAAACCUACCCUCGUGAGGGUAGCUGAAGGUACUAUACGAAUAAGCACCGGCUAACUCCGUGCCAGCAGCCGCGGUAAUACGGAGGGUGCAAGCGUUAUCCGGAUUUAUUGGGUUUAAAGGGUCCGUAGGCGGACUUAUAAGUCAGUGGUGAAAGCCUGUCGCUUAACGAUAGAACUGCCAUUGAUACUGUAAGUCUUGAGUAUAUUUGAGGUAGCUGGAAUAAGUAGUGUAGCGGUGAAAUGCAUAGAUAUUACUUAGAACACCAAUUGCGAAGGCAGGUUACCAAGAUAUAACUGACGCUGAGGGACGAAAGCGUGGGGAGCGAACAGGAUUAGAUACCCUGGUAGUCCACGCCGUAAACGAUGCUAACUCGUUUUUGGGCUUUAGGGUUCAGAGACCAAGCGAAAGUGAUAAGUUAGCCACCUGGGGAGUACGCUCGCAAGAGUGACACUCAAAGGAAUUGACGGGGGCCCGCACAAGCGGUGGAUUAUGUGGUUUAAUUCGAUGAUACGCGUGGAACCUUACCAAGACUUAAAUGGGAAUUGACAGCUUUAGAAAUAGAGCUUUCUUCGGACAAUUUUCAAGGUGCUGCAUGGUUGUCGUCAGCUCGUGCCGUGAGGUGUUAGGUUAAGUCCUGCAACGAGCGCAACCCCUGUCACUAGUUGCCAUCAUUCAGUUGGGGACUCUAGUGAGACUGCCUACGCAAGUAGAGAGGAAGGUGGGGAUGACGUCAAAUCAUCACGGCCCUUACGUCUGGGCCACACACGUAAUACAAUGGCCGGUACAGAGGGCAGCUACACAGCGAUGUGAUGCAAAUCUCGAAAGCCGGUCUCAGUUCGGAUUGGAGUCUGCAACUCGACUCUAUGAAGCUGGAAUCGCUAGUAAUCGCGCAUCAGCCAUGGCGCGGUGAAUACGUUCCCGGGCCU
This 1344-nucleotide ribosomal RNA is filed under the name uncultured bacterium. Its description in RNAcentral is "bacterial SSU rRNA". It matches the Rfam family "Bacterial small subunit ribosomal RNA", at positions 28 to 1381 of the family's 1533-position model. The record is from RNAcentral.